CCUUCGCUUCAUGGCCCUCUAGUAGUUCCAGGGUGUUCGCAGUUGUGACCUGCUUCCCGUGAGCCUCUGCUCUACGCUCCUGGAUGGGGCGUGCGUUCCCUACCCAGCAGCCCUCGCGCGGUCCGGCACAGCGGACACCGGGACUCCAAGAUGGCGUCAGUUGUAUCAGUGAAGGACAAGAAACUUCUGGAGGUCAAACUGGGGGAGCUGCCAAGCUGGAUCUUGAUGCGGGACUUCAGCCCUAGUGGCAUUUUCGGAGCGUUUCAAAGAGGUUACUACAGGUACUACAACAAGUACAUCAAUGUGAAGAAGGGGAGCAUCUCGGGGAUUACCAUGGUGCUGGCAUGCUACGUGCUCUUCAGCUACUGCUUUUCCUACAAGCAUCUCAGUGAGUGCCUCUGCGGCAUCUUGCCUUCAGUUCCCACGAGAGGGUGGUGGUGAAUGAUUUCAUUAGAUACAGCAGCCCACCUUCUUCCAAGGCUGAGGGACUUUUAAGCACGAGCGGCUCCGCAAAUACCACUGAAGAGGACACGCUCUGCACCCCCACACCCCACGACCAUGGCCCGAGCCCCUCCAUGAGGAACACAAUCUCAAUCGUUGCUGAAUCCUUUCAUAUCCUAAUGGGAAUUAACCUCCAAAUAAAAGAUGACUGGUA
RNA transcript from Symphalangus syndactylus (siamang), 655 nucleotides. It is a transcript of the gene named ATP synthase membrane subunit f, with no coding region annotated. The record is from RefSeq and is a predicted model, not a curated record. NCBI's taxonomy places the organism in Eukaryota, Metazoa, Chordata, Mammalia, Primates, Hylobatidae.